GAUAACAUUGCGAAAGCGAUGCUAAUACCGGAUAAUAUCUAAGAACCCUCGGGUUUUUAGAUCAAAGGUGGUCUCUACAUGUAAGCUAUUGUUUGGAGAUGAGCCCGCGUACCAUUAGCUUGUUGGUAGGGUAAAGGCCUACCAAGGCGACGAUGGUUAGCUGGUCUGAGAGGAUGAUCAGCCACACUGGAACUGACACACGGUCCAGACUCCUACGGGAGGCAGCAGUGAGGAAUUUUGCGCAAUGGGGGAAACCCUGACGCAGCAACGCCGCGUGAGUGAUGAAGGCUUUCGGGUCGUAAAGCUCUGUCAAGUGGGAAGAAACUAUAGAAUGCCAAUACCAUUCUGUACUGACGGUACCACUGAAGGAAGCACCGGCUAACUCCGUGCCAGCAGCCGCGGUAAUACGGGGGGUGCAAGCGUUAUUCGGAAUCACUGGGCGUAAAGAGCGCGUAGGCGGUCUCUUAAGUCAGGUGUGAAAGCCCGGGGCUCAACCUCGGAAGUGCACUUGAAACUAAGAGACUUGAGUAUGGGAGAGGGAAGUGGAAUUCCUGGUGUAGCGGUGAAAUGCGUAGAUAUCAGGAGGAACACCGGUGGCGAAGGCGACUUCCUGGACCAAUACUGACGCUGAGGCGCGAAGGCGUGGGUAGCAAACAGGAUUAGAUACCCUGUAGUCCACGCAGUAAACGGUGAACACUAGGUGUAGCGGGUAUUGACCCCUGCUGUGCCGCAGUUAACGCAUUAAGUGUUCCGCCUGGGGAGUACGGCCGCAAGGUUAAAACUCAAAGGAAUUGACGGGGGCCUGCACAAGCGGUGGAGCAUGUGGUUUAAUUCGACGCAACGCGAAGAACCUUACCUGGAUUUGACAUCCCGGGAAUCCUAUCGAAAGACUGGAGUGCCCUUCGGGGAACCCGGUGACAGGUGCUGCAUGGCUGUCGUCAGCUCGUGUCGUGAGAUGUUGGGUUAAGUCCCGCAACGAGCGCAACCCCUAUCUUUAGUUACCAUCAUUCAGUUGGGGACUCUAAAGAUACUGCCCCGGUCAACGGGGAGGAAGGUGGGGAUGACGCCAAGUCCUCAUGGCCUUUAUGUCCAGGGCUACACACGAGCUACAAUGGGCAGUACAAAGGGUAGCGACAUCGCGAGGUGAAGCCAAUCCCAUAAACCUGCCCUUAGUUCGGAUUGGAGUCUGCAACUCGACUCCAUGAAGCUGGAAUCGCUAGUAAUCGUGGAUCAGCAUGCCACGGUGAAUACGUUCCCGGGCCUUGUACACACCGCCCGUCACACCAUGAGAGUUGGUUGUACCAGAAGUUGUUGGGCAAACUUGCAUUAGCGAGAUGCAGGCACCUAAGGUAUGGCUGAUGAUUGGGGUGAAGUCGUAACAUGGUA
Molecule: ribosomal RNA, 1386 nt
Filed under: metagenome
Description: bacterial SSU rRNA
Rfam family: Bacterial small subunit ribosomal RNA
Source: RNAcentral